AACGCACAUUGCACCCUCUGGUAUUCCUGGGGGUAUGCCUGUCCGAGCGUCAUUACAACCCUCAAGCUCUGCUUGGUGUUGGGCGUCGCCCCGACCUUGUGUCGGGGCGUGCCUAAAAGCCAUUGGUAGUUGUCUGGAUCCCGAGCAAAGCAUCUCACUCUGCCCGGAAUCUAGCGUGCCAACUUGCCCCACCCAGGUUGACCUCGGAUCAGGUAGGGACACCCGCUGAACUUAA
Molecule: unclassified non-coding RNA, 235 nt
Filed under: uncultured Ascomycota
Lineage: Eukaryota; Fungi; Ascomycota
Description: sequence contains 5.8S rRNA gene, ITS2, 28S rRNA gene
Source: RNAcentral